CGGCCGCUAAAACCUCCGUUUCUUCGUUGGAACCGGCUCCUCUGCGGUGCGUGCGAUGCAUCGCACGCUGCGGUGCCCCUCAGAGGAUCCGCGCUCUUGUUCCUUCAACCCUCACCUUGGAUACCGGUAUUUCCGCAGAAGAGACUCCUCUGCGUCCUGGCUCUCAGCCUUCCCUCCUCUCCCAAACCCUCCCCUUCCUCCCCCUCCCUCCUCCUCCUGCGCCGCCUGCCGCCCCCUCCCUCCGAUUCUUCGUAACCGCUCCGGCAGAUCGCCGCCUCCCAUGCCGUACAACCACCGCGGGAAGUCCGCUCCGAGAGAGGGGCAAUGGAAGUAGAAGCCACGUGCCGGCCAGCUGCUCACCGGUGUCGUAGACGGCUGGUCAUCGUUGUCCUCCGCUGCCACUGCCGCUUCCGCCGUCGCAGAUGGAAUUGGCAGGCUGAGUCUCGUAGAGAACGCAGGCCGUGCCCAUCCGGCUGUUCCGAUGGAGGUUGCCGCUGCGGAGACUGAUAGGAACUCUUUGGCGGUGGAGAAGGAGAAUAGCGGUGUCGGUGGCUUGACGAAGCUGUUCAAGGGUCCACAAGGGGAGGAUUUCAAUGUGGAUAACAACACGUUCUCCAAGGCUCAGAUAAGAGCUACGUUCUAUGCGAAGUUCGAGAACGAGAAGUCUGACCAAGAGGUUGGAACACGGAUGAUAGAGAUGGUGUCUCAUGGCCAAGCAACCUGGGAGGAAUAACCCAACUAUUAUUUACUUCCUAUACACUCUGGUUCAAGGAUCGGAGCACGGGAUAGGUGAUUGGUGUAGGAUCUGAAUCUCAAGGACUUUAUUGUCUCCCGCCUCCAUCCUUUACCAUAUGUGCUAUCACAGAGUCUCCUAGUUUUCUUCACCAUCGUCUGGGUCAUCCGAGUCUAAAUAAGUUAGAAAAGAUGAUCCCUCAUCUCUCUCAUUUGCAGUUUUUAGAGUGAGUCAUGUCAGCUUGGAAAAUAUGUUCGGGUAUCCUUUCCAGGCAAGAUAAAUAAUCGAGCAGAGUCUCCUUUUGACAUCGUUCAUUCUGAUGUUUGGGGUCCUAGUCGUGUCAGUUCUAUCUUAGGAUAUAGAUAUUUUGUUACUUUCAUUGAUGAUUUUUCAAGAUGUAUUUAGAUAUUCUUAAUGAAGGAUCGUUCAGAGUUGUUUACUAUUUUUCAAAACUUUUGUAAUAAAAUUCAAACUCAGUUUGGGCAUCUUAUUCGCAUUUUGCAGUGAUAAUGCAAAAGAAUAUUUUUCUGCUCCUUUCAAUUCUUUCAUGGCAUCUCAUGGCAUGAUUCAUCAAUCCAGCUGUCUACAUACUCUACAACAAAAUGACAUAGCGAAAAAAAAACAUCAUCAUAUUAUUGAGACAGUUUGUACUCUUUUGUUACAAUCUAAUGCACCCUUAAAGUUUUGGGGUGAUGCUGUCCUCACUGCUGGUUACUUGAUAAAUCGAAUGCCAUCAUCUAUCUUAAAUAACCAUGUACCUCAUUCUCUUUUGUUUCCUAAGGAUCCUCUUUACAUUGUUCUCCUUCGUGUUUUUGGUUCUACCUAUUUUGUGCAUGAUUUUUCUCCAGAUCUUGAUAAACUGUCUGCCCAUGUUAUUAAAUAUAUUUUUCUUGGUUACUCUCAGAUUCAGAAGGGAUAUCAGUGUUAUUAUCCUUCCACACAUCGAUUUUAUAUGUCUACAGAUGUCACCUUCUUUGAGGACACCUUAUUUCAGCUCACCGAUGGAGCUUGAAUUCAUCUCUCAGCUCUUACCGAUUUUCUACUUUGGUCUGCUAGUCUCUGUUUUUCUCGAACCUCCUACUUUGUCUGCUCAGCCAAUACAUUCCUCACCAUGCCUACUAUCACUUAUCAGCGUCCACCACAACCUAAGAUUUUGGAGACUAUUUCCACUCAAGAUUCAGGUGAUUUAUUUUCUGCUCCAGUGUCUCUACCUGCCUUGGGCCUACUCGAGCAUUCCACUGACUGGUCUGUAGCUCUCCGUAAAGGUACAUGCUCUGCUCGUAAUCCUCAUCCUAUUUAUAAUUUUUUUAAGCUAUCAUCGUUUAUCUUCAUCCCAUUAUGCCUUUGUUUCUGUCUUGUCUUCUGUUUCUAUUCCUAAAACCAUCCAAGCACUUUCCCAUCCAGAAUAGCAUCAGGCGAUAAUUGAUGAGAUGGCAGCUUUGGAAUCCAAUAACACAUGGACUCUUGUUCCUUUCCGUCUUGAAAAAUCUACAAUUGGUUGUCGAUGGAUUUUUACUAUUAAAGUGGGCUCUAAUGGACAGGUGGAUCAUUUGAAAGCACGUCUUAUGAUUAAGGGCUAUACUCAAAUUUUUGAUUUUGAUUAUGGAGACACAUUCUCCCCUAUUGCUAAGAUGGCAUCUGUCCAGCUCUUCUUAUCUAUGGCUGUCAUGAACCAUUGGCCUCUAUAUCAACCGAGCAUCAAAAAUGCCUCUCUACAUGGUGCCUUGGAGGAGGAAGUUUAUAUGCAGCAACCACCUAGGUUUGUUGCUCAAAAAGAGACGAGUCUGAUUUGCAACUUACACAAAUCGCUAUAUGGCCUUAAGCAAUCUCUUCGGAUAUGAUUUGGAAGAUUUAGUAAAGUCAUACAACAAUUUGGCAUAGUCUAUAGUGAGGUGAUGAUCAUGACGGUAUCAAAGCCCUAAAGCAGCAUUUGUUUCAACACUUCCAAACUAAAGAUUUGGACCGAUUGCGGUACUUCCUUGGGAUUGAAGUAGCCCAAUCAAAAACAGGCAUCACCAUCUCUCAAAGGAAGUAUGCCCUUGACAUUCUGAAAGAGACCAGGAUGCUAGAUUGUAAACCAAUCGAUAUUCCUAUGGAUCCAAACGUAAAACUUCUACCAGAUCAAGGGAAGCCCUAUUCAGAUCCAGGCAGGUAUCAGAGACUGAUGGAAAAAUUAAAUUAUCUCAUCAUGACCAGAGCAGACAUACCCUUCACUGUUAGUGUUGUAAGUCAGUUUCUUAACUCUCCUUGUGACAGUCAUUGGGAUGCAGUGGUUUGGAUCUUGAGAUAUAUUAAGGGUUCUCCCGGAAGAGGGUUGAUUUAUGAAAAUAGAGGCCACAAAGACAUUGUUGCAUAUACAAAUGCAGACUGGACAGGAUCCCGUAGUGAUAGAAGAUCGAUUUCUGAGUACUGUGUUCUUAUUAGGGGCAAUCUCAUCUCAUGGAAAAGCAAGAAGCAGAAUAUGGUUAUCAGAUCAAGUGCAGAAGCAGAAUAUCGAGCUAUGGCCCUUACUACAUGUGAACUUAUAUGAUUGAGACAACUGCUUCAAGAAUUGAAGUUUUGUAAGAUUGGAACCUGCAAAAGGCUCAUGCAAAAGAAUGGGCUCGAUGGGAGAAAAGAUUGUGUGAAUUUUUGCUUGGAAAUGCUAACUACCUCAGUUCUAUUCGGGAUAUUCUCUCAUGGAGGCCUAAUUUUCAUUCAAUAUGCUUUACACAUAUAUUUCGAGAGGCCAAUUGAGCUGCGGAUUUUCUAGCAUCUAUGGUGAGGCAAGGGUCCUUUGAUAUACAAUCUCAAGAUCCUAUACCCCCUUUCUUAUCUGAUAUACUGUGGGCUGACUUUUAUGGCAUCUUAUUUGAACGAUGAUGUCGCUGAUUUUAUACUUAAUGAGCUAUCAGCUCUUAAAAAUUAAGUACGGUUCCUUUGAUCAGUGGCCAAAUUUUGUUGGCACAAUGAUGUGGUGGAGGCUUUUAAGUUGCUUCAGCCCUGAUUUCAGUUCUUGCAUUUGUCUAUUAUAUUGCACCUGCUGGUUGUGUUUAUCUUCUAGGACCCAGGUUAUCUAUAUAUUCUUCUUCAAGUACUUGUCCUAUGGAGUCAAAACGGUGUUGGUCAAACAGCAGAGACACUACUGGACAUCAAUGCUUCGAAUCUGGCAUCACUGCUUCAACUUUUCCCUAUCUGUUUCUGCUUUUGUCUUAUCCCGGUUCUCUGCUCCAAGUUUUAACUUGUUUUUCUAGGCAAUCUGAUCUACCGUGUUUCAUUAGUGUUUGCAAAGUCAUCCAUCUUUUUCUUCCAAGCCUGGGCACUUUCCCAAAUUAUGCUUCACAAUUCACAGGUUCUGAUGAGAUCUAUGGUACAAGGUCUUAUAAAGGCGGGCUCUUACACUUAAAUACUGGCACAAGAAGUAUGAAUCCUGAUGUGAUCGACACCAAAUGUUUAUCUGCUGGCCUGUCUAAGUUUUUGAAUAAUGUUUUUGACCCGAUGGCUACAGACGGGAAGGGUAAGAAUGAAAUCCACUCCACAUGUUAUUAUGGUUGCCAACUCUUAAUCCUGCAGGUUGUUGCCGAGGAAUCCUUUAAUCUGGACGCUGGUGGGAAGGACUUUAUUGGUCCUUGUGCCCGUUCAAUCAGUCUCCCACAUGAUGUUUUAAAAAUGGUUGAUUCUAAUGGGAAUUUUGUAGCUCUGUCUUCUAUUUUCUGCAACUUCUUACAAGGCUACUGCUCUUUAUUUGUCACGCUGAUCCCAUAUGAUGUUAUACUUGCUGAUGGGAAUGAAUUUAACCACUCAGAGCCUGGAACAUUACAAACCAAAUGGGUGAUAAAUUAUUUUGUCUUUGUCAAUGCAAUAUGGGGCUCUACCAGAGGGAGUAUUUUUCUUUUUGAAUCUUCUUUGGUCUUCUUGCUUGCAAAAACUGUGACACAUACUUUUCCCUACUUAAUGAGUAUUAUGUGGUAAUAAUUUGAAAUCGAAGCUGAUUCUUCUUAACUCUCUGCUAUAUGGAUUUCUCGAAGUCAUGAUAUACAGUCAUAUCAAGGACUCUUUGGUUUUCUGUCCUACUCACUGUUAUAUGUGGCACAUGUUCAGUCUCCCAUUUAUAAUGCAGGAUGGAUAUGAUCAUAUGUUCUUUUUUCAGAUUAUUACAACCAGGGAGUUUCAGCAUGAUAUUUUAUUGUCAUUGGACAUUGAUGCUUGCCUAAUUUCAACGGGUGUGAAUCACAAACAGUUCUUUUCUCAAGAUGGUUGCCACUUGUUAAUCUUGUAUGAUAUUCUAAAGUUGGAAGGUACUGAUGGAAUCCAGGUUUCUGAAGCGGCUUUUACAGUGGAAGUUGCUGGGAAGGAUCUUAUAUUUCCUUGGCCCCAGUCAUUCUCAUUCCCGAAUGAUGUUUCAAAAAUCAUGGUUUCUGAUGGGAAUUAUGGUAACUGGUUCUUCAUUUUAAGUACCAUUUCACAACGUCUUUCCUCCCUUUUAUCAAUUAAUAUCCCAUAUGAUGUUUCACCUACUGAUGGGAAAUGAGUUUAUUCAAGGUUUGUUGAUUGCUUUGCACGUAGAUAGUUUUCAAGGUUGUUUUUGUUUAGUGUCUGCUCUGUCCGAUCUCAAAUAUGUAAGCUUCAUAUUGCUACAAAGUGGGCUGCUUUUCCCUCUCUAUUUGGCAUUUUGCUAUAUUUUGGUCUUCACCUGCGUUGCUGUAAUUACUUGGUUUGUCUUUGUUUUUGGAACAGGGUGUAACUGCUCAUUUUUGUAUCUUCAAAGACUUUGUAGAACCUUUUAAGAUUUAUGUUAAUGAGGCUGCAGCUUCCUUUCUUA
Elaeis guineensis (African oil palm) is the source of this 5534-nucleotide non-coding RNA. NCBI's taxonomy places the organism in Eukaryota, Viridiplantae, Streptophyta, Magnoliopsida, Arecales, Arecaceae. The record is from RefSeq and is a predicted model, not a curated record.